CUACCCUUGACAUGUCCGGAAGCCCGCUGAGAGGUGGGUGUGCCCGAAAGGGAACUGGAACACAGGUGCUGCAUGGCUGUCGUCAGCUCGUGUCGUGAGAUGUUGGGUUAAGUCCCGCAACGAGCGCAACCCUUGUCCUUAGUUGCUACGCAAGGGCACUCUAAGGAGACUGCCGGUGACAAACCGGAGGAAGGUGGGGAUGACGUCAAGUCCUCAUGGCCCUUAUGGGUAGGGCUUCACACGUCAUACAAUGGCCGGUACAGAGGGUUGCCAACCCGCGAGGGGGAGCCAAUCCCGUAAAAGCCGGUCGUAGUCCGGAUUGCAGUCUGCAACUCGACUGCAUGAAGUCGGAAUCGCUAGUAAUCGCGGAUCAGCAUGCCGCGGUGAAUACGUUCCC
This 397-nucleotide ribosomal RNA is filed under the name uncultured bacterium. RNAcentral describes it as "bacterial SSU rRNA". It matches the Rfam family "Bacterial small subunit ribosomal RNA", at positions 975 to 1375 of the family's 1533-position model. The record is from RNAcentral.